CCUGUUCCCAGGGUCAAACCCAGGUCUCCUGCAUGAGAGACAUGCACCACAGCAGAGGCCAUCAGCAGAACUGCAACUGUUCCUCAUGACUAAGUCUUCCCUGCAGCCAGCUCCCACCUUCAUUUUAUGGUCAGUGGGAGACAGAAAGGGGGAGUAAUGGGACUCUUUUCCUAUCCCUGAUGCUGCUGUCUCAGUUGGAGGAGGGACUGAGCCUGGGCAGGCUGUGACUAAUUUUUCAGUCGACAGUUUUGGCCAACUGAUAAAGGGACCCAGAGCAGAUUCCUCUCCUCUGCCUGAACUCCACGAGAAACUGGAGCCUUGGUACCAGCAGAGGCACACUCGCCCCCACCUACUUCCUCGGAGUUCAGAAUACAUUUGA
RNAcentral lists this long non-coding RNA (379 nucleotides) under Ovis aries (sheep). RNAcentral's name for it is "lncRNA (ENSOARG00000025306.1)". The record is from RNAcentral. Lineage: Eukaryota; Metazoa; Chordata; Mammalia; Artiodactyla; Bovidae.